Molecule: unclassified non-coding RNA, 252 nt
Filed under: plant metagenome
Description: partial contains small subunit ribosomal RNA, internal transcribed spacer 1, and 5.8S ribosomal RNA
Source: RNAcentral
UCUCCGUUGGUGAACCAGCGGAGGGAUCAUUACCGAAGUUACCCUUCAAAACCCUUUGUGAACAUUACCUCUUGCCGCGUUGCCUCGGCGGGAGGCGGUGGGACGUCGCGCUCGCGCCCCUGACCGGGCCGUGCCGCGCCGGCCCCGCCGUCCCCGCCGGCAGCGCCAAAACUCUAUUUGCACAGCGGACUGUAUGUUCUGAUUUAUAAAAAAAACAAGUUAAAACUUUCAACAACGGAUCUCUUGGUUCUG